This is an RNA transcript of Syngnathoides biaculeatus (alligator pipefish), 1211 nucleotides long. It is a transcript of the gene named FRA10A associated CGG repeat 1, with no coding region annotated. NCBI's taxonomy places the organism in Eukaryota, Metazoa, Chordata, Actinopteri, Syngnathiformes, Syngnathidae. The transcript is spliced from 15 exons. The record is from RefSeq and is a predicted model, not a curated record.
UGUCGUGAUUUUUAAAUGUCAUCCUCAUCCGGGAGAUAUUGACGUCAUCAACCUGUGAGCUUGCGCCUGCUACGUCAUUAUUAAGCGACGUCCAUUUUGUAAACAGCAAGACUGGUGUUGUCAAUGCGAAUAUGGAUAAUCUCGUCAAAGUGCACGGUGGUGGUGCCAACUACGAUUCAGAUUUCAGUGACGAUGAGAAACAAGGAGAGACCUCGGAAAGCAGACUUAAAAGGAAACACGAAGAAGAAAUUUUACAGAAACCAUUUGGGAAAGAUCGACACACUCAGGUGGCUCACCGCACUUUUCACUCCAAUGAACUGGACAGAGAGGAAGCGAGGAAUAGAAGAGCCCACUUGAUCUCACUGACUGCCUUUGAGCGCCAUAAGAAGUUUGUCGGCGACUACAUACUCUAUUAUGGAGGAAAUAUGGCCGACUUCAAACGCUCCGCAGCUAAAGAUAAAACGGACUCAGACGUCCUACGUGAGAAUCAUCGCUUCCUCUGGAGGGACGAAGAUGAAGAGGACAUGACGUGGGAGAAAGAAUUGGCAAAGAAGUAUUACGACAAGCUGUUUAAGGAGUACUGCAUAGCGGAUCUCAGUCGAUACAAAGAAAACAAGUUUGGAUUCCGCUGGAGGACAGAGGGCGAGGUUGUCUCGGGCAAAGAAGGCAGGCUUGCCUGUGCGCGGAUGAUUGUACGCGAAUUGGACGACAUCUCCUCCUCUCCCUCCCACGGGUCAGUUCCAGUGUGGGAACAAACGCUGCGAGGAGCAGGAAGGCCUAAAAAGCUGGGAGGUGAAUUUUGCCUAUGUGGAGCAGGGCGAGAAGAGGAACGCGCUGGUCAAACUGCGACUUUGCCCGGAAUGUUCUUUCAGACUCAACUACCACCACAAACGGAAAGAGGUGAAAGCAAAGAAGACGCUCAGGAAUGUACCGGAAGAGAACCAGGAGCCGUCGCGAAAAAAACAGAAAAAGACAAAGAAGAGCUCGUCGUCACGCUCCAAGAAGCACAAACGCCGGCGGCGCAGGGAUCGAUCCGGCUCCUCCAGCGGCUCGGAGGAGUCGCAGAGCAAAGACUCUGAACCAGAGGGCGAGCAAGAGUGUCAGAGCGAGUCGGACCACUGGCGAGGACCCGCCCCGGCUGUGGAGGAAAAGUCAAGGGAGGAAGAAUUUGACGACUACUUCGAAGACUUAUUCCUCUAAACGGAGACGUG